GAUGAACGCUGGCGGCGUGCCUAAUACAUGCAAGUCGAGCGAACAGACGAGGAGCUUGCUCCUCUGACGUUAGCGGCGGACGGGUGAGUAACACGUGGAUAACCUACCUAUAAGACUGGGAUAACUUCGGGAAACCGGAGCUAAUACCGGAUAAUAUAUUGAACCACAUGGUUCAAUAGUGAAAGACGGUUUUGCUGUCACUUAUAGAUGGAUCCGCGCCGCAUUAGCUAGUUGGUAAGGUAACGGCUUACCACGGCAACGAUGCGUAGCCGACCUGAGAGGGUGAUUGGCCACACUGGAAGUGAGACACGGUCCAGACACCUACGGGAGGCAGCAGUAGGGAAUCUUCCGCAAUGGGCGAAAGCUUGACGGAGCAACGCCGCGUGAGUGAUGAAGGUCUUCGGAUCGUAAAACUCUGUUAUUAGGGAAGAACAAAUGUGUAAGUAACUAUGCACGUCUUGACGGUACCUAAUCAGAAAGCCACGGCUAACUACGUG
RNAcentral lists this ribosomal RNA (497 nucleotides) under uncultured bacterium. RNAcentral describes it as "partial 16S ribosomal RNA". It matches the Rfam family "Bacterial small subunit ribosomal RNA", at positions 28 to 507 of the family's 1533-position model. The record is from RNAcentral.